This 579-nucleotide ribosomal RNA is filed under the name Triticum aestivum (bread wheat). RNAcentral describes it as "partial small subunit ribosomal RNA". The record is from RNAcentral. Lineage: Eukaryota; Viridiplantae; Streptophyta; Magnoliopsida; Poales; Poaceae.
AUAGAUCGUGCGCGCCAUAAGAGCUCGCCCAGCUCCGAGCGCUUCCUCGGCACAUUCCUCCCCCGCGCGGCCGCCGGCGACCAACCCGCCUCGGCGGCCUUCGAGCUCGACGUGGACGACCUCUUCGGUUCUCCCGAGCGGCCGCGGCCGCAGCCGCGACGCCGGCCCUUGCUCAUCUCCUCCAUCUGCGCCGCAAACCCUAGCCCCCCGCGCCGCCCGCCGGGGGCCAUCCUCGAGGCCCUCCCCGAGCGCCUCGAGCCUCUCUCGCCGCCCCCGUCUGCUUCAUUCGUCUCGACAUCCCCCGCGUCUCCGGCGAUGGCCCUUCCACGCAUGAUCCCCGCCAUCCCCCGCCCGGUGCCGUCGUCGGCGAUGCACAUGCCGCAGUGCGCGCCGAUGAAUGUGCCAGCGGCGCGGAUGCGGCGACCGACGGUCGUUCGCAACUUCGCGAGUGAAGCAGAUGAGGACGACUACGACGUGGAGAUGUUGUCGCCGCACGAGAUGGUGGCGCGCUCGCCGGCGUGGGAGUCGCCCAUGACGACCUUCUGGGUGUUGGAGGGCGCUGGACACACGCUCCCAUGA